UUUUAUGGAGAGUUUGAUCCUGGCUCAGGAUGAACGCUGGCGGCGUGCCUAAUACAUGCAAGUCGAGCGAACGGACGAGAAGCUUGCUUCUCUGAUGUUAGCGGCGGACGGGUGAGUAACACGUGGAUAACCUACCUAUAAGACUGGGAUAACUUCGGGAAACCGGAGCUAAUACCGGAUAAUAUUUUGAACCGCAUGGUUCAAAAGUGAAAGACGGUCUUGCUGUCACUUAUAGAUGGAUCCGCGCUGCAUUAGCUAGUUGGUAAGGUAACGGC
RNAcentral lists this ribosomal RNA (275 nucleotides) under Staphylococcus aureus. RNAcentral describes it as "partial 16S ribosomal RNA". It matches the Rfam family "Bacterial small subunit ribosomal RNA", at positions 1 to 264 of the family's 1533-position model. The record is from RNAcentral. Lineage: Bacteria; Bacillati; Bacillota; Bacilli; Caryophanales; Staphylococcaceae.